Molecule: ribosomal RNA, 800 nt
Filed under: uncultured bacterium
Lineage: Bacteria
Description: bacterial SSU rRNA
Rfam family: Bacterial small subunit ribosomal RNA
Source: RNAcentral
ACACAUGCAAGUCGAACGAGAAUCUGUGGAUCGAGGAUUCGUCCAAGUGAAGCAGAGGACAGUGGCGGACGGGUGAGUAACGCGUGAGGAACCUGCCUUUCAGAGGGGGACAACAGUUGGAAACGACUGCUAAUACCGCAUGAUACAUUUGGGUGGCAUCAUCUGAAUGUCAAAGAUUUAUCGCUGAAAGAUGGCCUCGCGUCUGAUUAGCUGGUUGGUGAGGUAACGGCCCACCAAGGCGACGAUCAGUAGCCGGACUGAGAGGUUGACCGGCCACAUUGGGACUGAGAUACGGCCCAGACUCCUACGGGAGGCAGCAGUGGGGAAUAUUGGGCAAUGGGCGCAAGCCUGACCCAGCAACGUCGCGUGAAGGAAGAAGGCUUUCGGGUUGUAAACUUCUUUUAAGAGGGAAGAGCAGAAGACUGUACCUCUAGAAUAAGCCACGGCUAACUACGUGCCAGCAGCCGCGGUAAUACGUAGGUGGCAAGCGUUGUCCGGAUUUACUGGGUGUAAAGGGCGUGCAGCCGGGAAUGCAAGUCAGAUGUGAAAUCCAUGGGCUUAACCCAUGAACUGCAUUUGAAACUGUAUUUCUUGAGUACUGGAGAGGCAAUCGGAAUUCCUAGUGUAGCGGUGAAAUGCGUAGAUAUUAGGAGGAACACCAGUGGCGAAGGCGGAUUGCUGGACAGCAACUGACGGUGAGGCGCGAAAGUGUGGGGAGCAAACAGGAUUAGAUACCCUGGUAGUCCACACUGUAAACGAUGAAUACUAGGUGUGCGGGGACUGACCCCCUGCGUGCCGCA